GAGGAAUAUUGGUCAAUGGACGAGAGUCUGAACCAGCCAAGUAGCGUGCAGGAAGACGGCCCUAUGGGUUGUAAACUGCUUUUAUAAGGGAAUAAAGUGAGAGUCGUGACUCUUUUUGCAUGUACCUUAUGAAUAAGGACCGGCUAAUUCCGUGCCAGCAGCCGCGGUAAUACGGAAGGUCCGGGCGUUAUCCGGAUUUAUUGGGUUUAAAGGGAGCGUAGGCCGGAGAUUAAGCGUGUUGUGAAAUGUAGAUGCUCAACAUCUGAACUGCAGCGCGAACUGGUUUCCUUGAGUACGCACAAAGUGGGCGGAAUUCGUGGUGUAGCGGUGAAAUGCUUAGAUAUCACGAAGAACUCCGAUUGCGAAGGCAGCUCACUGGAGCGCAACUGACGCUGAAGCUCGAAAGUGCGGGUAUCGAAC
Molecule: ribosomal RNA, 420 nt
Filed under: uncultured bacterium
Lineage: Bacteria
Description: bacterial SSU rRNA
Rfam family: Bacterial small subunit ribosomal RNA
Source: RNAcentral